GACGAACGCUGGCGGCGGGCUUAACACAUGCAAGUCGAACGGAAAGGCCCUGCUUUUGUGGGGUGCUCGAGUGGCGAACGGGUGAGUAACACGUGAGUAACCUGCCCUUGACUUUGGGAUAACUUCAGGAAACUGGGGCUAAUACCGGAUAGGAGCUCCUGCUGCAUGGUGGGGGUUGGAAAGUUUCGGCGGUUGGGGAUGGACUCGCGGCUUAUCAGCUUGUUGGUGGGGUGGUGGCUUACCAAGGCUUUGACGGGUAGCCGGCCUGAGAGGGUGACCGGCCACAUUGGGACUGAGAUACGGCCCAGACUACUACGGGAGGCAGCAGUGGGGAAUAUUGCACGAUGGGGGGAAGCCUGAUGCAGCAACGCCGCGUGCGGGAUGACGGCCUUCGGGUUGUAAACCGCUUUCGCCUGUGACGAAGCGUGAGUGACGGUAAUGGGUAAAGAAGCACCGGCUAACUACGUG
Molecule: ribosomal RNA, 468 nt
Filed under: uncultured bacterium
Lineage: Bacteria
Description: partial 16S ribosomal RNA
Rfam family: Bacterial small subunit ribosomal RNA
Source: RNAcentral